GAUGAACGCUGGCGGCGUGCAUAACACAUUCAAGUCGAACGAAGUAAUGAGGUGCUUGCACCGAGUUACUUAGUGGCGGACGGGUGAGUAACGCGUGAGCAACCUGCCUUUCAGAGGGGGACAACAGUUGGAAACGACUGCUAAUACCGCAUAAUGUAUCGGAACCGCAUGGCUCUGAUACCAAAGAUUAUAUCGCUGAAAGAUGGGCUCGCGUACGAUUAGAUAGUUGGUGAGGUAACGGCUCACCAAGUCGACGAUCGUUAGCCGGACUGAGAGGUUGACCGGCCACAUUGGGACUGAGAUACGGCCCAGACUCCUACGGGAGGCAGCAGUGGGGAAUAUUGGGCAAUGGGCGAAAGCCUGACCCAGCAACGCCGCGUGAAGGAAGAAGGGCCUUCGGGUU
Molecule: ribosomal RNA, 403 nt
Filed under: uncultured bacterium
Lineage: Bacteria
Description: bacterial SSU rRNA
Rfam family: Bacterial small subunit ribosomal RNA
Source: RNAcentral